GAAGCUCGCCGACAGAGAGGCCUU
RNAcentral lists this non-coding RNA (24 nucleotides) under Arabidopsis thaliana (thale cress). Lineage: Eukaryota; Viridiplantae; Streptophyta; Magnoliopsida; Brassicales; Brassicaceae. The record is from RNAcentral.